CCCGGCUCCGCCCAGACAGACCGGUUGUUGUGCAGCCCUUCACCUGGAAAUCUCGGCGGAGCGCGGCCUCCGGCCUCCCGCACCCAAACCCUCGCCCCCCAUCCAGAGCCAGCCCUGCCCUCGGCGCGCCGCAUAUUGGCUGGGCCUAAUACUCAGGAAGACGGCGUGCGGCGCAGGGGACUGAGGCCUACAGAGGGAGGCCGGGAGGCCGCGGUGGGGAUGGGUCGGCCUGGUUCCGGGAGAUUGGGAAGUCCUGGAAGGCGCGAGCGGCGUGCCACCUUCCUGCCCACCCGGGCGCGCUGGCACAAAGAGCUUCUCCACUGUUAGAGUUAAGUGGAGCCUGAGAAUACUUUCCCUUCUCAAAAUUUAGGAGUUUGCCAGCGUUCUUUUAAGCAAGGUCCCAUAUUCAAUCUUUCUGUCCUCAAGUUAUCUGGGCUACAACUUCUUUUUUUUUUUAAUUAGUUGCAGUCCCAGAACAAAAAGCAAUGCCCACUGUUUUGUAGCUCUCAAUACAAUAAAGCCAUCGUAGCUAAAUGAUGUACAUACAUGUGCCUAUGUAAAUAUGUGAUUUUUUAAACGUCUGUAUAGCUUUACAUUGUGUAUGAUAAACACAGGAAUUUGAACCUUUUCUAUCUUGAAUACUUUUUCCCAAUGGGUUUAUUACGACUAUGUAUCGAAGUCCAAUUUGAAGGGGGGGAAACAUGCUAGUUGUCAGAAGAAAAAGAUGCAUGAUUAAGUCUAUCUUUCAAGUACAUUAUAACUUGUAGGUAUGAUAAGGUAAGUACACACGUACUAUAUGAAAAGAAACCGAUUAUGAUUAAAUAUCACAAGGGAUACAAAGUUCAGUGAGCAGCCUAAAAAGAGAGGCGACUUGUCUGGUAAGAGAGAAGGGAGGUCACAAGGAAAGUUUGUAAAAGCAGUGAUAUCGCACAGGCCUUAACGCACAGGCCUUAAUGGAUGGGUGGGAUUUCAGCCACAGGGUUUGUAGGAAGAAGGACAUCAAGAGCAAAAGAAUUAAGGAGUGGAGUCAGCUAGGACUUUACAGUCACAUAUAUAGGACAGUCAAAGGGAAGAUGUUGACAAAUGUAAAAAAUAACUUGUUGCCUUUGGAUGGAGCAUAUCCAGGGACCUACUGAGACAGAAUCAAUUUACAAGACUAAAGACUGAAGGCCCAGUGGCCAUUAAAAAGGAUUGCAACAGACCAGGAGAGAACUGACCUGACCCUAGGCCAGAAACAGUGAGUGGCAAAGAAGAAACCAAAUGAAAGCACAGUAGGGCCACAUUGCUAGGGCAGAAUAAACAGGUCUGACAUAGUUGGUGGUGAAGAGCAAUGAAAGAGUCCCAAUCUCUUGGUGGCUUGAGGCCAGGAACAGGUGAAUAGGGAUGUAAAGUUCAGAUCAAAGGGAAAUCAGCAGAAGCACAAUGUUUGGGUUCUAGGAAGGGGGGAAUGACACAAUAAACUUGGAUUGUAACUUAACAUUAAUAGGUAUCAGACCCUGGAGGGGAUCAUUACAAAGUAAAUAUUUCCUUAUUUCUCACAAAUGUGACAUUACCUGUAACUUGUUACUGCCUCUCCCUCCACCCAAUUUUUGGUAAUAAAUCAGAAACAACUCUCUUAGUGUAUCUGUGGAAAAUACAAGGUUGUAGUAAUUGCAGUUCUGCAGAAACAAAAUCACUUAAAAAUGCUCCAGAUGAGAUGUUAAGUAUGAUGGUUAAUUUUAUGUGUCAACUUGACUCAGUUAAGGAUGCUCAGACUGCUAGUAAAACAUUAUUUUUCUGUGUGUCUAUGAGGGUGUUUGUUAGCAUUGAAUCAACAGACUAAAGAAGAAAACCUUACCAACAUAGGCAGGCAUCAUUAAUCUAUUAAGGGCCAGAAUAAAACAAAAAGGUACAAUCUCUUAUUGAGCUCAGUUAUCUAUUUUCUGGUCUCAGACAUUAGCACUCCUGAUUCUUUGGCCUUGAGACUCCAACGGAGGAUUAUGUCAUCAGAUUCCCUGUUACUCAGGCCUUUAGGCUUGUAUCAGAACUACACCACAGGCUUUUCUGGUUCAGUUUGCAGAUAGCAGAUGAUGAGACUUCCUGGCCUCCAUAAUAGUGUUAGUUAAUCUUUCAUCUCUUUGUAUCUACAUGUAUGCCCUAUGGGUUCUGUUUCUUUGGAAAACCUAAAUACAUUGGACUUUGUCAAUAAAAUCUGUUUGGAUUUUUUCCCACUUUAAUACAUGUAUAAAAAAGAACUUAAAUGCC
Molecule: long non-coding RNA, 2244 nt
Filed under: Marmota monax (woodchuck)
Lineage: Eukaryota; Metazoa; Chordata; Mammalia; Rodentia; Sciuridae
Source: RNAcentral